RNAcentral lists this ribosomal RNA (197 nucleotides) under uncultured bacterium. RNAcentral's name for it is "partial 16S ribosomal RNA". It matches the Rfam family "Bacterial small subunit ribosomal RNA", at positions 577 to 773 of the family's 1533-position model. The record is from RNAcentral.
GGUCUUUUAAGUCUGAUGUGAAAGACUUCGGCUCAACCGGAGAAUUGCAUCAGAAACUGUUGAACUUGAGUGCAGAAGAGGAGAGUGGAACUCCAUGUGUAGCAGUGGAAUGCGUAGAUAUAUGGAAGAACACCAGUGGCGAAGGCGGCUCUCUGGUCUGCAACUGACGCUGAGGCUCGAAAGCAUGGGUAGCGAAC